Caretta caretta (loggerhead turtle) is the source of this 780-nucleotide non-coding RNA. NCBI's taxonomy places the organism in Eukaryota, Metazoa, Chordata, Testudines, Cheloniidae. The record is from RefSeq and is a predicted model, not a curated record.
GAGAUUACUGGUUCUGUGGAUGAAGGGAAAGCAGUGGAUGUAUUGUUUCUUGACUUUAGCAAAGCUUUUGACACGGUCUCCCACAGUAUUCUUGUCAGCAAGUUAAGGAAGUAUGGGCUGGAUGAAUGCACUACAAGGUUCAACCUCCAGCCAACGGAUCGUGUACCAUGUCUGAAGGAAAAGGAUUGGAACUCUCCACAUAUUUGGAAGAAACAGAUGUGAUCAGGCACAAGACAAGAGUGGACAAAGAGGGAUUGGACUCUGCUGGCCAGGCCCCCAACAUUUCAUAGACAUAGUUCAAAAUCAUUGAGUUAAUUCACUGGUGUUUAUUUUGAAAGUAGAAUUUUGUGUGUCUGAACCUCAUAUAUUUUCUACAAAACAAAAGACUACUAUGGGACUGCUGGAGUGUCCAGCCUUGAUAACUCCCACCCUGGCCAGCAUGACAUUGCCACACAAGAGCAGAAUUUCACAUCUGAUCACUUGGGUACUGAUUCACACAGAGAAAUGUUUGCUGUUCCGAGAAACCUUCAGUGCAUCCAUCACUCAUAUCAAAAAUGUGUCAGUCACACAAGUGGAGGUCUCUUCAUCUGAAUCCUCAUUUAAGCGAUGGGAUUAUUCUUACAUCUCCCCUCCUGUUCCCGUAAAGAUGUUAUACAAAACCCAGCAUCCCUGAACCAGGCUGCCCUCACCUAGAAAGGUGCAGGCACAUUCUUGAAAAAGACCAAAACCAAUUAUCUGUACAUGUGCAUGUAUAUCAUUAUAUAAAAUUUUUAAAAACUA